Molecule: ribosomal RNA, 497 nt
Filed under: uncultured bacterium
Lineage: Bacteria
Description: partial 16S ribosomal RNA
Rfam family: Bacterial small subunit ribosomal RNA
Source: RNAcentral
GAUGAACGCUGGCGGCGUGCCUAAUACAUGCAAGUCGAGCGAACGGACGAGAAGCUUGCUUCUCUGAUGUUAGCGGCGGACGGGUGAGUAACACGUGGAUAACCUACCUAUAAGACUGGGAUAACUUCGGGAAACCGGAGCUAAUACCGGAUAAUAUUUUGAACCGCAUGGUUCAAAAGUGAAAGACGGUCUUGCUGUCACUUAUAGAUGGAUCCGCGCUGCAUUAGCUAGUUGGUAAGGUAACGGCUUACCAAGGCAACGAUGCAUAGCCGACCUGAGAGGGUGAUCAGCCACACUGGAACUGAGACACGGUCCAGACUCCUACGGGAGGCAGCAGUAGGGAAUCUUCCGCAAUGGGCGAAAGCCUGACGGAGCAACGCCGCGUGAGUGAUGAAGGUCUUCGGAUCGUAAAACUCUGUUAUUAGGGAAGAACAUAUGUGUAAGUAACUGUGCACAUCUUGACGGUACCCAAUCAGAAAGCCACGGCUAACUACGUG